Hemibagrus wyckioides is the source of this 82-nucleotide small nucleolar RNA. RefSeq annotates it as small nucleolar RNA SNORD53/SNORD92. NCBI's taxonomy places the organism in Eukaryota, Metazoa, Chordata, Actinopteri, Siluriformes, Bagridae. The transcript has a single exon. The record is from RefSeq and is a predicted model, not a curated record.
GUGAAGUGAUGAUUACAGAGAACGGUUUCGCUUAUAUGACUGACAUCAAGUGAUGUCAUGUUUCUCUUGGCUAUCUGAUCCA